UUUCCAUGCCCUGCCCAAGUUAACCCUAACCCCAGUCAGCCUAUAAAAUCCAAGUAAAGCCUUCUUUGCCGCUGAAGCUGAUAGUGUUAAUCUAACACCAGUUGAGUGGAGUUGGGUAUAAAAAUUCUUUCAGGUUUAGGCAUGUUAGCAGGAGUAAGGUGACAGAUUACUCUUUUCAGUUGUAUUUUCACUGGUGGAUGCCUCUGCUAGAGUGAAGAUGAAUUAUCUUUAUGUAGUUGCCCUCUUUUUGGACCAUUUGAAACUUAUGUUAAAUUGUUUGGUAGUAGACAAAAAAGGGUAAAAGAGAAACAACAAGAAAUGAGAAGAUAGUAAAGAGAAAUAGAUAAGAAAUUAUUUGAUUAUGCAAGAAAAACAGUGGAGUAGGAGGAGAAGAGAGAGAGGAGUUGAGGAGAAUUGAUUGAGAUUCAAUUGAUUAGCAUAAUUUUUUGACAGGGUUUGAGGUAUGAAAUAAAUACACAUAUAUUUUUGUUAUGAA
This is a long non-coding RNA of Mangifera indica (mango), 496 nucleotides long. RefSeq lists it as uncharacterized. NCBI's taxonomy places the organism in Eukaryota, Viridiplantae, Streptophyta, Magnoliopsida, Sapindales, Anacardiaceae. The record is from RefSeq and is a predicted model, not a curated record. The transcript has 2 exons.